UUAUAAGAGACAGCAGCCGCCGCGGUAAUACGUAGGGUGCGAGCGUUAAUCGGAAUUACUGGGCGUAAAGCGUGCGCAGGCGGUUAUAUAAGACAGUUGUGAAAUCCCCGGGCUCAACCUGGGAACUGCAUCUGUGACUGUAUAGCUAGAGUACGGUAGAGGGGGAUGGAAUUCCGCGUGUAGCAGUGAAAUGCGUAGAUAUGCGGAGGAACACCGAUGGCGAAGGCAAUCCCCUGGACCUGUACUGACGCUCAUGCACGAAAGCGUGGGGAGCAAACAGGAUUAGAUACCCGCGUAGUCCCUGUCUCUUAUAC
Molecule: ribosomal RNA, 314 nt
Filed under: uncultured bacterium
Lineage: Bacteria
Description: partial 16S ribosomal RNA
Rfam family: Bacterial small subunit ribosomal RNA
Source: RNAcentral